AGAUUGAACGCUGGCGGCAUGCCUUACACAUGCAAGUCGAACGGCAGCACGGGAGCAAUCCUGGUGGCGAGUGGCGAACGGGUGAGUAAUACAUCGGAACGUGCCCAGUAGUGGGGGAUAACCCGGCGAAAGCCGGACUAAUACCGCAUACGACCUACGGGUGAAAGCAGGGGAUCGCAAGACCUUGCGUUAUUGGAGCGGCCGAUGUCAGAUUAGCUUGUUGGCGGGGUAAAAGCCCACCAAGGCGACGAUCUGUAGCUGGUCUGAGAGGACGACCAGCCACACUGGGACUGAGACACGGCCCAGACUCCUACGGGAGGCAGCAGUGGGGAAUAUUGGACAAUGGGCGCAAGCCUGAUCCAGCCAUGCCGCGUGAGUGAUGAAGGCCUUAGGGUUGUAAAGCUCUUUCGCACGCGACGAUAAUGACGGUAGCGUGAGAAGAAGCCCCGGCUAACUUCGUGCCAGCAGCCG
This 471-nucleotide ribosomal RNA is filed under the name uncultured bacterium. RNAcentral's name for it is "SSU rRNA". It matches the Rfam family "Bacterial small subunit ribosomal RNA", at positions 26 to 517 of the family's 1533-position model. The record is from RNAcentral.